GUUUGCACUUGUCGGGGAAGGGUGAGAACCUUCGAUUAAGGUUCGACUCGAGCGAAAGCGAGAGAACGUUGCCAACGGCAACGGCCCGUAGGGUGAGG
Molecule: small RNA, 98 nt
Filed under: Salmonella enterica
Lineage: Bacteria; Pseudomonadati; Pseudomonadota; Gammaproteobacteria; Enterobacterales; Enterobacteriaceae
Also listed under: 3 other names
Description: partial RtT sRNA
Rfam family: RtT RNA
About the family: This family represents a bacterial cis-regulatory element known as RtT RNA.
Source: RNAcentral